AGCUCCAAUAGCGUAUAUUAAAGUUGUUGCGGUUAAAAAGCUCGUAGUUGGAUUUCUGCCGGUGAGCGACGGUCUGCCCUCAGCGGUACGUACUCGUCACGCCACCGGCAUCUUCCUGGGGAAUGUAUCUGCACUUAAUUGUGUGGUGCCCGAUCCAGGACUUUUACUUUGAGGAAAUUACAGUGUUUCAAGCAGGCUCACGCUCUCUGAAUACGUUAGCAUGGAAUAAUAGCAUCGGACCUCGUUCCAAAGCUGUUGGUUUCUUGGUACG
This 271-nucleotide ribosomal RNA is filed under the name uncultured eukaryote. RNAcentral's name for it is "partial small subunit ribosomal RNA". It matches the Rfam family "Eukaryotic small subunit ribosomal RNA", at positions 587 to 859 of the family's 1831-position model. The record is from RNAcentral.